Long non-coding RNA from Aethalodelphis obliquidens (Pacific white-sided dolphin), 3382 nucleotides. RefSeq lists it as uncharacterized. The record is from RefSeq and is a predicted model, not a curated record. Lineage: Eukaryota; Metazoa; Chordata; Mammalia; Artiodactyla; Delphinidae. The transcript has 2 exons.
CCUUUCCCCUCGCCCCGCCUCCUCUCCCACGCGCUCUGCCUUGGAACUUCCAGUCCACGCCCAGGAAGCCACCCGCCAGCUGCAUACUAUCACCUCCCAAACCUGUCCCUGUCCAGGCCGACAUGUCAGUGCCCAGACUCAGCAGGGCCAAGACCAGCCCCAUCGUCUCCCUCUCCACCCACAGGCUUGUCCAGGCACCUGGACCACACCGCCAUGAUCCCCCAUCGAAUGAGUCACCAGGGUUUGUUCUAGCAGCGCCCACAUGAGCGGCCGUCCUCCGCAUUCACACUCCGCCCCAGCUCCAGAGCUCGUUUGCUCUCCUGGGACCUCACAGAAGCCUCCCGGUGGCCUUGCCUCCCGCCCUCCGCCCUCUGCCCCCUGCACGGCCCCAUGGAGGUUUCCUGGAAAGUCAGGUCUGGGCACCUCAGUCCCGGCCCGGGGUCUCCCCCAGCCCCGCACGGUGAGCACGAUGCUGUUCCCACGCCGAAGCGGCCUGUCUCGGUGAGCAGCUGCUCCGCCCAAGCGCGUUUUGGAGAGAAUUCUGGUUUGUGUCUAACUACAGUAAUUACAUUCAUAUUGUUACAGAUAUUUGUCACAUAUUGUGUGAAUCACACGGAUUCUUCCAAACAGAGCAGCCGACAUAGUUCACCUGCGAUGGCCCAGGGCCACCACCGUGGGUCCCCACGAUGGGCUGUGUUGUAACAGAGUGGGGUCCGUGGAGUUCCUCAGGCUCCCAGGCUGUUCACCUCUCCACCGAGCCCCAGUCCCAUCAGAGCUGCUGCUUCCCCGUCCUCUGUUCUCACCGUCGGCCCGUUUAAACCCAAUGCCAUCUCCCGCAUUUCUGAUCUUCCGACCUUUGUGUCUGUGGAUAUAAACACGGCUGUGAGACCGGUGAUCCUCUUUUUGCACGUAAUUCUAAAUCGGUGGGCUCCAGUCUGAGGACUUCUCCUCUGAAUCAGAGUGCACGUGCUUCCUAACAGCCGUGCUGCUCUCCGAUUACUCUUCCCCUUGUGCGGUGAAUGUGAUGGUGUUCUCGGAGCAGCACGAUGGCUUACGAGCUUGGAUGAUGUGGUCUGCUCGAGGUUUGGUGAACUGACUUAGGCAUUCAGCCGUGUGUCCAUCAGACAACAAGAAAUAAAUGCAGAAACCCCAAUCCGUGGCCUUGUUGUUUCCCUCUUAACCCGUGUACUCUCUCUGGAAGUUCUCCUCAAAUGAACCCGAAGGCCAGUCCUCCGGGGAUGCAGGGGUCCCAACCCAGGCUCCGCGGUCCCCAUGCCCACCAGCACCGACAAAGUGUGCUGAUCCCGAUUCCUUGAGGGGUUGCCCCAAUCGCGAAGGAUACAGAAUGGGUCAGACGUUAGGGACUGCGUAAAGAAAUCAAACACCUCUCAUAGAGCCUGGGUGAGGACGGAGAAAACCAGCUCAGGGCUGGCAGAAAUUCCUGAGAACGUGACACUCAGCAUUGAGGCCACCAGGCUUGUCACUACGGACCUUGAUUGUUUUUCAAGGAGAAUUUGAGGAAGGAAGAGGAUCUUUCCGACAUUGUAAUAAUUGUAGAAAGAAGCCAAAGAACUACCGUGAUCGAGGGCAUUUUGUCUCAAAGCCCACGUGCUCUGAUGCGUGUGUGUGUGUCUGUAUAUCUGUAUCUUCCGUCUCCUAAGGUAAGCCCUUUAAAGGUUUGUAUCAUCUUAUAGCUCCUAACAUUGUGUUCUGAAUCUAAGACACUAACUAGAUUUUUAUUAACUGUUUCCCAGCGUAUCCAGGUGAUUUAAGUUCUACCUGAUAAAAGGAACCAUUGGAUAAGAAACAUCCUCUCGAUGGUGUUAUGUAUAUUUGGAAGCAUGUGGUAUUUGCCCAGGAAAGAAAGUGCACAUCUAAGGUGCUGGGGAAAGGCUGGGUCCCCUAGUGAGCCCUGCAGUUUUGCAUGUCCGGUGAAAUCUGGGUUCAGCCUGGACUCAGGAGGCAUCACACCACUUACUGAGUCACACACACACCCUUCUUGCGAUUCCUGUGUUUUCCCAAUCACCGUCUUCCCAAGCCAGAUUCUGUGAGUACUAACAGCUGAAACUCACACAGCAAUGUGUUCUGCCAUAAAGCCCAUCAACGGGGCUAGAAAAAUUACUUAACGUCAGAAGUCCCAGUGUAGGGCGGACCCUGGCGGGAUCUCCCGGGCUGCCCUCAGCACUAAAACAACGUGAAGCCCCUCCUCCAAAAGCAGCUGGGCUCGCCGCUCUCUCAUACAGCCGUCAGCGUCUUUUAAUUUUCUUCUCACCAGCCUCCAGUCCCCCCAGAUAAUGGCCGGAUUCUUCUUGAAGGGACAUUUCCGUUUGAUGGAUCAAAUAUAAAGAGAAUAUAAAUAAGGAGAUGUGGGUAAGAACACAACAGACGCCCGAACCCGACGAGCAGGAGACAUUCACGUUCCGCCUUUGAAACCUGCAGCCUGGCAAAGGCCUUGAGAGAGUCUGUCUCCCAAACAUACCCUCGUCUUUUGUGUUUCUUGAGCAUUGAUAGCGCAGGAGAAGGGCCCUCGCAGGGAACCUGGGACGUGCUGUGAGGGGACAGCCCGGUGCAGCAGAGCAAACGUGGGCUUCAGCGCCAGACAGAUCUGUUCCAAGACCGGCCUCACCGAGCCCCGGGGACCGAUGCAGGACACUGGCUGCUGUGUGGAGAAAAGUCUCUAAGGGCCGAGCAGGGAGGCGUCUGGAGGUCCCGCAGGCAGACACACGGGCGGUGAGAUCGCGGUGCCGGGACCACGUGGAGGCUGCGAGCAGAGGCUGCUUCUCCGUGUUUCCUGAAGGCCGAGCUGAUAGGAUUUGCUGACGGGUCGGUUCGGUGUGAAAGAGAAAGAAACGGUGCAGACGGGCCGGGAAAGUCGGCCCCUGGCCCUCACCGAGACAAGCCAUGGGGGCACGGGGCUGAGAAGGACACGAGUCCAGGGGAGAAGCAGUCUCAGGUGGAGAGACUUCCAAGGCAGCAGGGCGAACUGGAAAAUGUCCGACAGCUGGCUCUCUGCGGGGAGAGCCCUGAUUUGCACCGUUUGCUUAUUUCUGACGGGCAGACACUCCCACCACAGGUGAGGCCAAGCCAGCAACAAUAGUGAACGUGGCGCUGGCGACAGAUGUGCAGGACUGGCCCCGGAGAGCACCACGGCGGACGUGUGUGCCCGUGUGCUGCCACCAGGGAGCAUGUCACCCACACGGCCGUCACGUCUCCACAUGACGUGACGUUGGCCCAAGGGCUUGAGGGACCGAUGUGUUCCUCUUCGUUUCAUCGGUGCAAAUGCAGAACCUGCAAGAGUUCAAUCAGCAUUCCUUGAACAGAACCGAGCUUCAUUUUAAUGCUGUAUUCAACCACGUGAAGAGUAAUGCGCAUCUCGCCAUCA